UGCUCACGCAAUGAGUGAGUAAAACCAUCUUCCAAAGGAAGAGGGCCUCCAGAGGCAGAUGUGGGCAUGGGCACCGCAGCCUGGAGUCGCAGCUCCUCCACUCCUGGCUUGGACCUCUGAGCCUCACUUCCUCUCCUGUAAAACACGCAUGAGACACACCUGCCUCGUGUGGGCCUGGGCCGCUUGCUAUUACUAAUAAAACAGCAGCAACCACAGGACAGCUUCACUUCCGGAAACUCCCUCUGUCACGUGCUUUGCAUGAAUCCUCACACCGUCUCACUAGGGGCGCUCUCCCCGUUUCACCAGUGACUUGGUGACAACCAGCCUUGCUCACGAAGCGUCAGCCGUAUCCUUUCUGUGUGCAGUGGGGUGUGGGUUGUGUGGAGCCGCGGUGUCUGUGGAAUUCACAGGCUGGGGCCGGAAUCCAUGGCCCCCGUCGCCGCUGCCACCCCCCAGGUGCUGGGGUGACCUGAUCCAGGGUUGGGGUCUAAGCUGCUGGGGGGUUGGAGUCUUGGGCUCUGGCCCACGUCCGCCUCUGAUUGGUUCUACCACCUGAGCCGGUCACUGACCCUCCAUGGGCCUCAGCUUACCCUAUGGUAAAGUGAGAACUAGGGGGUCAGACUCCUUGAUCACCAAGAUCUCUGACCACAGCCAAGGCUAAGGGAAGCGCAGGAAAACGUGGGGCUCGUCCAAAUUCCCAGCCUCUCUCUGCCCCCUGGUGGACGCCGGCAGCCUAGCACCCGGGGGGAGAUGACCCCGACACUGUGUGACCUCUGCCAAGGCACCCAUCCCUCUGAGCCCCAGUUCCCACCGGUUACAUAGGAAUGAUUAUAAUACCCACCUCUUUGGGCAAUUGUGAGGAGGCAAGGAGAUAAUACAUGCAAAGUGCUUGGAUGGGAUGGGUACUAGCCACUCAACAGAAGGCAGAUCCUAGAAUGGGGAUGGCAAGUCCUGUCAUCAGUGAAGAAUGUAAUGACUGCAAGCUUAGAUGACAUGUCUGUUACUGGAAACCAGAGUUGUUUACUUAAGCUGUAAAUGAACUCAUAGUCCCUGGGAUAAUUAUCUCACCUCUGGAUAAAUAAACUCAACAGCCUUAUGUAUUUUAUUAAUUUUUCUUAAAAAAAAGCUUAAAAUAUUUUUCCUUUGAUUUGUUCUCUUUCUUUGGUUUCUGACUUUAUUAUGUCCUUUCUUUCUGCUUAGGCAUUUGUUUUAUUGCUCUUUUUUCACCAACUCAAACUGAAUGGUCACCUUAACAGUUUUAUUGAGGUAUAAUUUACACACCAUAAAAUUCACCUGCUUUAAGGAUACUAUUCAAUGAUUUUUAGUACAGUUACAAAGUUAUGCAACCAUCAUCAAAACCCAAUUUUAGAAUAUUUCAAUCACCCAAAAAAGAAAUAUCACACCCAUUUACAGUUUAUCCCCUUUCCUGCCCCCAGCCUUAGGCAACCACUAAUCUACUUUAUAUAUAGAUUUGCCUUUCCUGGACAUUUCACAAAAAUUGAUUUACGCAAUGAAUGAGUAAAACCGUCUUCCAAAGGAAGAGGGCCUCCCAAGGCAGGUGUGGGCAUGGGCUUGCCACAAUAUGUGGCAUUUUGUGCACUUAAUGUUAUUGAGGAUUAAUCUAUGUUGUAACAUGUGGCGGUAUUUUGCUCCUUUUCAUUGGCAUUCUCUUGGGGGCUUGUUUAUUUUUACAUGUAUUGUUUUCCACUAAAUGUACUUAAAUAUAUAAAUUUGUCUGUAAGUGCUGCUAAAACCCAGCUAAGCUGUGCCCCACCAACUUUAAUGUAGUUUUUCCACUAUUCAGAAGUAAAUAUUUCUCACAUUUCUUUAUGACGUCCUUCUCCACCGAAAGUUACCUACUGUAAACUAAAAAUAAAAUCCUAAGUCCCCCACCAACUGAAUGGAUGCCCCCCUUGGCCAAGGGGACACCAGAAAAAACUUAGGAAUGGAGUUCCAGCCAUGGCAGGACAGGAGGUCCCCUUUGUAGUUUAGACACAACAGCUGACCAGCAUUGAUGUUAAAAUAGAGAGCAUAAGACUGACAGAACAGACUUUUGUGGCAAUAAGAUACAAAAUUAUAGGCUGGGCGCGGUGGCUCACGCCUGUAAUCCCAGCACUUUGGGGAGGCUGAGGCGGGCAGAUCACUUGAGGUCAGGAGUUUGAGACCAGCCUGGCCAACAUGGCAAAACCCUGUCUCUACUAAAAAUACAAAAAUUAGCCGGGCAUGGUAGUGCACAUCUGUAAUCCCAGCUACUUGGGAGGCUGAGGCAGGAAGAUCACUUGAACCUGGGAGGCGAAGGUUGCGGUGAGCCAAGAUCACGCCAUUGCACUCCAGCCUGGGCAACAGAGUGAGAUUCCAUCUAAAAAAAAAAAAAAAAAAAGAUACAGGCCAGGCCAGGCAAGGGUUAAGUCACCCACCCCUACACUUAAAGAAUAAACUAAGUUCUAACAGCCACAAGGUUUUUCGUUUUCUCUAGCAGAACAAUAAGCACUGGCCUUGAGAUAAGCAAUAUGAAAAUAAUUGCAGCACAUCCACUAACUGACCACUGUUUCCAUAAGCCAUAACUACAGCUUGGACUGGACAAGAGACUGAUAUCAAUAAUUUUCUCCUGAUAGUAAGACCACCGACCACGGACUGGUUCUGGCCAGUUUACAGAGGCUGUGCACUUGAGCGCUUUUGUGUCCUGAAAAGACCUUUUGACAUCUAGGGCCUAAUUGUAAUAUAUUUAUUUAUUUAUUAUGAUUAUUAUUUUUGAGAUGGAGUCUCGCUGUUGCCCAGGCUGGAGUGCAGUGGCACAAUCUCGCCUCACUACAACCUUUGCCUCCUGGGUUCAAGCAAUUCUCAUGCCUCAGCCUCCUGAGUAGCUGGGAUUACAGAUGCGUGCCACCACACCCAGCUAGUUUUUGUAUUUUUAAUAGAGACAGGGUUUUGCCAUGUUAGCCAGGCUGGCCUCAAACUCCCGACCUCAAGUGAUCUACCUGCCUCAGCCUCCCCAAAGUACUGGGAUUACAGGCGUGAGCCACUGCGCCUGGCCUCAUAAUUGUAAUACAUUUAAAUGUUAAGUGUCCACUCCAGCCGGGCGCGGUGGCUCACGCCUGUAAUCCCAGCACUUUGGGAGGCCGAGGCGGGUGGAUCACCUGAGGUCAGGAGUUUGAGACCAGCCUGGCCAACAUGGUGAAACUCCAUCUCUACUAAUAAUACAAAAAUUAGCUGGGCGUGGUAGUGCACAUCUGUAAUCCCAGCUACUUGAGAGGCUGAGGCAGGAGAAUCACUUGAACCCGGGAGGCCGAGGUUGCAGUGAGCCGAGAUCGCGCCAUUGCACGCCAACCUGGGCAAGGGCCUGUCUCAAAAAAAAAAAAAAAAAAGUGUCCACUCCAGGGUGAACAUGAGUCUCCAAAAUUUUAAUAUAAACAAAACGUGAAAUCUUGUUCUUCCACACAUUCCCCACACAAGUGCUGCCAAGAUCAUCUGAAAAGUUUUAAUCUACAAAGAAAGGUCCAGGACCAUUGUCCAUGGCUCUGCCCCUCCUACCCCCGGCUUUUCAGUUCCUUAUCUCCCCAUCACAAUGCCGUCCUUCCCCACUUCACCGUGCCCCGAUGUCCCUGACAACCCUCUGCAACUAGUCAAAGCCCCGGACUACCGUUGGGCCCACAAAUUCAUGUCUUUCCUGCUUGCUUGCUCCACCAAUCAAGCCACUUCUCUUUCUAGGCCUCCUCAAGACCUCCUUCAAUUUCUGCCUAUCCAUCAACUCAUUUCUGCCUCCAUUUUCCUCUUUAACCAGCUUAAAUGUCAUGUUCCAUCAUUUCAAUCACUUCCUUGCAAACAUCCUAAAAUCCUUGGCUCUCCCUUUGUCCUCAGCACCAACCUAUCAAAACUCCAAACAUGUUCAGGCAUGGUGGCUCACGCCUGUAAUCCCAGCACCGAGGCCAACGCGGGAGGAUCACUUGAACUCAGGAGUUCGAGGCCGCCUGAGCAACACAAAGAGACCUUGACUGUACUGGGGAAAAAAAAAAUAGCCAGGUAUAGUGGUGUGAACCUGUAGUCCCAGCUACUCAGGAGGCUGAGGUGGGAGGAUUUCUGGAGCCCUGGAGAUCGAGGCUGCAGUGAGCUAUGAUUGCACCACUGCAUUCCAGCCUGGACAACAGAGCGAGACUGUUUCUAUUUUUUUUUUUUUUUUUUUGAGACGGGGUCUUGCUCUGUCACCCAGACUGGAAUGCAGUGGUGCGAUUUCGGUUCACUGCAAGCUCCGCCUCCCAGGUUCACGCCAUUCUCCUGCCUCAGCCUCCGGAGUAGCUGGGACUACAGGCACCCGCCACCUCGCCCGGCUAAUUUUUUGUAUUUUUAUUACAGACGGGGUUUCACUGCAUUAGCCAGGAUGCUCUCGAUCUCCUGACCUCAUGAUCCGCCCGCCUCGGCCUCCCAAAGUGCUGGGAUUACAGGCAUGAGCAACCGUGCCCAGCCUGACUCUGUUUCAAGAAACAAAACAAAACAAACCCUCCAAACUCUAGGUGAACCUAACUAUGCCUCUCCUUUAUGCUUACAGCCAGGCCAGGAAGCAUUUUUUAAGAACUACUGGGGGUGUAAGUAACACUAUAAAUUCAGUCACCAACCUCAAUGCCGUUAGACAAUUCCAGUGCAUUUUGAUGUUUAGUUGCACUGUCCUCAGACUUCAAGCUUCCCUUCUAGCUCCUCGCUCUCAGCAGAUCACCUAAUGUUAUAGCUGCCUAAUCCUCCUUUCCUUCUCACUGCUGAAAGAUGUUCCUUCUGUGCUCAGAAUUCCAUCCCUCCAGGCUUCUCUGGAACUUUGCACUAUUCAUUGGCAGGAGAUGAGACUGUGUGGGGGGAGAGGAGUUAGGAGAUGGUUGCAGGGGUACUUGUUUUCAAAUGCAAAUAAGGUUAUACUUCUCCCCAACAAGCAAUCCUUUGAUACCUUUCCAUUGCUCUGAAGAUUUUUUUUUUUUUUAAAUGGGGUCUUGCUCUGUUGCCUGGAGUGCAACAGAGUGCUAGAGUGCGGUGGUGCAAUCUUGGGUCACUGCAACCUCUGCCUCCCGGGUUUAAGCAAUUCUUCUGCCGCACCCUCCUGAGUUGCUGAGACUACAGGCACACGUCACCACACCCAGUUAAUUUUUGUAUUUUUAGGAGAGACCGGGUUUCACCAUGUUGGCCAGGCUGGCCUCGAACUCUUAACCUCAAGUGAUCUGCCUGCUUUUGGCUCCCAAAGUGCUGGGAUUACAGGCCUGAGUCACCACGCCCAGCUUGAGGUGGGGGUUCUACUCCAGAUGGGUUGCUCAGGGAAGGUCCUCUGAGGAGGUGGCAUCACCUGAGUCCUGAAUCACAGGCAUGCACCAGCACACUCAGCUAAUUUUUAAACUUUUUGUAGAUAUGAGGUCUCACUCUAUUGCCCAGUCUGGUCUCAAACCCUAGGCUCAAGCGAUCCUCCUGCCUCAGCCUCCCAAAGUGCUGGGAUUAUAGGUGUGAGUCAUUGUGCCUGGCCAAGAUGAUUAAUUUGAAUGUCAUAUUUAAUUAAUUUGCUUAAUUGUAGUAAUCUUUUUUUACCUGAACCCAUAGAAUUUUGCAGGCACCAUCUGGCCAAGUUUCAGGAGUCAAUAAUACCUUGGAAAAAUUUAAAAGUUCAUUAUAUGGUUUACUUUUGUUAUCAAAUAACUACAUUUUUUGUAAAAUUUAUUAGACAAUCCAAUAAUUUUUCUUCCAGAUUUAAUACUACUCUAGUGUUCUCUGUUUUCUCCUCCAGAUCCAUUAUUUAUUCUUCUCCAUCUUGUUCUGUGUUCCUGGAAGCCAACCUUUAUAAGCUGCAGGAAAUGGAUUUCCUACUCUCCACCUUCUGAUUGGGCUUGACCAACGGGGAGCACUGGCAGAAGACAAGCAUGGGAGGAAAAAGAGAUCAGGGUAUUCAUUUCCCCAGAUCCCUCCCUGUCCUCUACUUAAAGGUCAUAAGUCCAUCCAGGUGUCAUCUCUUAUGUAGGAUUCUAGCGACAUCUUCUCCCCUUGUUCCUUUAGGCUUAGGAGUAAUAACACUUUUCUGUUCUUGCUAGUCCUGAGGAUAAGUGUUUUGUCACCUCUUGUUGAUUUCCCUGACUUCAAAUACCAAACACUAUUUUUUUGCUAUUUUUGAACUUUAUGUAAGUAGAAUCAUACAGUAUAUAUUUUGGGGGGUAAGGUUUUUUUUGUUUUGUUUUACUCAAUAAUAGGUUUGUGAGCAUCAUCCAUGCUAUUGCAUAAAACAGUAGUUUGUUUUCAUUGCUGCAUAGUAUUUUUCACUUAUACAUUGUACUAUUAAUAAAUAUUUGAGGGUUUUUUUUCCCAAAAGUGCAUAUGUGUCUCUUGGCUGUACACCUAAGAAUAAAACUUUGGGUGACAGGAUAUGUAUACCUUCAACUUUAGUAAACAAUACCAAACUGAUUUCUAAAUGCUAGUACGCAUUUACAAUUCUACCUGAAAUGUAUGAGUUACCAUCAUCUGUAGGAUCUAUAGUGAUUUCUCCCUUUUCAUUUCUGACAUUUCUUUUUUUGUGUCCCUUUUUCCCUCUUUCCUUUCCUUUUCUUUCUUUCCUUCCUUCCUUUCUUCUUUCUUUUUUAUUGAGAGUCUUGCUCUGUCACCCAAGCUAGAGCGCAGUGGUGUGGUCAUGACUCACCACAGCCUCGACUUCCCAAGCUUAAGCAAUCCUCCCACCUCAGCCUCCUGGGCAGCUGGGACUACAGGCAUGUGCCACCACACCUGGCUAAUUUUUUGACCCAUUAUUGAGAAGUAUGUUAAAAUUCCCAUUGUGGUUUUGAAUUUGUCUAUUUCUUUUUUGAGUUCUGUCAGUUUUUGCUUUAAGUAUUUUGAGGCUAUGUUGUUGGAGAAUCUAAGUUUAGAGUUAUUUUAUCUUUUUUUAAUUUUACUUUUUUUAGAGAUGAUGUCUCCCUGCCUAGGCUGAUUUGGUCUUAUUUCUGAGCUCAAGGGAUCGUCCCACCUCAGCCUCUGGAGUAGCUGGAACUACAGCACGUGCU
Molecule: long non-coding RNA, 7010 nt
Filed under: Homo sapiens (human)
Lineage: Eukaryota; Metazoa; Chordata; Mammalia; Primates; Hominidae
Description: long non-coding RNA NONHSAT148782.1
Source: RNAcentral